UGUUGUCAAGUAACUUAUCUGUUAUCAAACAAUGUUGAUUAAAUAAUUCAAGUUGUAAAUAAUAAAUAAUAAAUGAUGUACGAUUAUGUUAUUACGGUACCUAUGAAUGAGUGAUGAUGAAAACCAAACACAGUUUCAAUCAUUUUUUUACAUCAAUAAAUAUACUCCAUAUCUAACCUUGCUCAUUGUACAGCUUCAUUUCAGAGCUACCUAUCUAUCAAUAUUAUUAUCAAUGGAAUUUGCGUCAGCGUUUCCAUUGCCAAAUUCAAUCACAUGUCGAUCAUGUUUUUCUUGUUGGGAUGUAAUGAUAUAUUUUAUUUGUUACCAAAUCAGUGAUUUUCUCUUUUGAUUACUAUCUUCAUUGUAUCUGCAGUCUGCAGGUUUCCUAUUUGCUCAUUCGAUUUGACUACUCAUAUGUAUUAUUAAUACAGUUUGUAAUGACCACUGACAAUCAUUGUACAGUAUAUAUUUAAUCGUAGUGAAAAGUUUUUAUUCGUUAUUUGUACUUAGUAAAAAUUUAAAUAAAACAAAAAAAAUAUUAAUGAAGUGCGCCCAUUUUGUUCUAGAGAAUGUUUGUACGUAACAUUUUGUAUUGAAAUAAUAAUUUCAAAUCAUCAAUAUAUAAUAUUUAUAAUUUGUAAUGUGAAUAUUGUCCAUAGUCAUAAUACUCAUAAGUAAUAAUGUAUUUCAUUAAAUAUUGAAUACUGUCAACAGACGUAUCAAGUAUCAACGAGUAGGUAAUGAAUUUGAUAAAGUGCGUAAACAAAUCAUUGUCUUAUCAUUAAUUAAUUAUCACUAUUUAGCCGAUUUAUCAACACCAAAUUGUUUAUGGUCACGAUCGGGAUUAUAAUAUAUUAUAUUUUGUAUAUCCAUAUUCCAUAGCUAAUAUAUAGUGUAUAUUAAAUAAGUGUUUAAUAUUAUAUACAUAUAUUUAUUGUUUAUGGUAAUUAAUAUUUUUAACUGUUAGCAUGAUGCCUUCGCCAAUUAUCAUUAUAAUUGUUAUAAUUAUUAUUACUAUUAUUUUUAUUUGCUGUAAGUAAUAUUUAUAUGUUGUUCCACUAAAUGAUAUUAGAUAGGUAAACCUUACAUAACGUUUGCCAUAAAAACCCUACCUAUUAAUCUAUUAAUAGUUGAUACCUUGUAAGUAUUGGUUUUUAAAAAUUUUCCCAUGAAUUGUGAUUAAAUUAUUUAAAACAUAGGUACCUAACUUUUUGACUAAAAUGUUUAACUGUCUUCUGCAGUGGUGUAUUUAUGGAGAAAUGAAAGGAAUACAAUUUAUCUAUGUUCAACAACAACCUCCAAAAAAAAGGAAAAAACUUGAUUAUUUUUUUUAUGCAGAUUAUGGAUAUAAAAAUUUCAUAUAAUAGAUAAUAGUAUAAAAAUAUUAUCAUAUAAUUUAAAAAAUUUUUAUUUAAUGAAAAUAUUUACAAUCUGUGGUAGAUUCGAGCAAUAUGCAAAAAUGAUAACUAUUACUAAUAACUAAUAUCCGUAAACAGAAUAUAUUAUUAAUAUAGAUAAUAUUAUGAGGAGGGAUACUAUCCAGUGAACUCGACGUGUUAUAUUAUUUUAUGUUGACUACACAUGACGCCCUCUUUAAUCGGUAGUAUUUACUUUUGAGUUAGUAGGUAGGAUUUAAUUAUUUAAAACUCAAAUGUUCCUAUAAUAUAAAAAAAAAUAUUUAAACAAAAUCCUUUAUAGUUUAUUUAUGAAUAUUAUAAUUGAUACAUUUAUUACGUUAAUAAAAAAAUGAAACAAAAAAUAUUAUUUAAACGUAUAUAAGACUAAGCAGUCACCAUACUAUAUUUAAUAUUUAUCAUUAUGCUUAUGCCAUUAUAGUAUUUAUAUAAGUGUAAUAUCUUAUAUUAUAUUUUGUUGGGAAUUGUUUUCUGCUAUAAGAGAAAACGCUUAUAGUUUAAUCUUUAAUGUUUAAUAUAACAUUAAUUUACAAACCAAAAAGUAGAAAGGCUGCCAAUGAACUGCGUAUUAAAUACGACUAUAUACAAUAAAUAAUAUGAUUUUAAAUGAUAUUUUUACUCAUGCAACUAUGUAAGACUAAUGCUAUACAUAUAAAUAUAUUGUUAUACUAGAUACUAGUUGAAUUAUAGGAAAUUCAAAAGUUUGUUAAAUAAAAUAUGCGACGGGUGGCAAUGAUUAGUUGUCUCCAGUUAAAUGUAUAUGAGGCAAAUGCUCACCUUUGCCGCCCCGCAAUUACGCCACUGUAGUAUAAAAUAUUUUAAUACAUUAUAUUAUGUAAACUAUAUAUUAUGUUGUUAAUAAAUUGCAAUAAUUACAUUGUUAAAAA
This is a long non-coding RNA of Aphis gossypii (cotton aphid), 2302 nucleotides long. RefSeq lists it as uncharacterized. The transcript has 2 exons. NCBI's taxonomy places the organism in Eukaryota, Metazoa, Arthropoda, Insecta, Hemiptera, Aphididae. The record is from RefSeq and is a predicted model, not a curated record.